CAACCAUCAAGCCCCGGGCUUGUGUUGGGGACCUGCGGCUGCCGCAGGCCCUGAAAACCAGUGGCGGGCUCGCUAGUCACCCCGAGCGUAGUAGUUUACACCUCGCUCAGGGCGUGCUGCGGGUUCCGGCCGUUAAAAAGCCUUAUUUACCCCAA
Molecule: unclassified non-coding RNA, 155 nt
Filed under: uncultured Chaetomium
Lineage: Eukaryota; Fungi; Ascomycota; Sordariomycetes; Sordariales; Chaetomiaceae
Description: sequence contains ITS2
Source: RNAcentral